GGUGCGGCUCUCUAGCGGCGCCCUCUAGCGGCGCCUGGCGGAGCCUUCCCGAAAGCCCGACCUCGGAGCCUAAGCGUGCCCUAGUAACCUUCGCAAAAAGGAAGAGAGGGGUUCCCCUUUUGGCCCUGGCCCAGUGACUUUGCUGUUUCUUCCUUGGAGAGACCUGGCUUUGGGCGAUAGGGGGAUAAGGGGAUUAGAGCAGUGGCUCUCAUAGGGUGGUCUGAGGGGCCCUGUGGGUCCGAAGAUCCUUUCAAAACUAGUUUCAUAGUAAUGGUAGGAUUUCGUUUCCCUUUCUUAACUCUCGCUGAAAUUUUCCAGAGAACUGAUGUGUGAUGACGUCAUCGCUCUCAUGACUAAAGGAAUGUGUGCUUGUAUUGUGUUUUCUAGAAUUUCCUAAGCUUCCAGAAUGUUCCACAUUUGUUGAAAACUACAAACAAACAUAUCCAAGAAUCCCAGUGAAUGCCAAGCAGCAUAAACACAAAGAAAACCACAUCAAGGCACUGCGGAAUCAAAUUUCUCAAAACUAGUGAUGCAGAGAAAAUCUUAAGUUAAGACUAAUCACUGCUUUCUCAUCAAAAACUAUGCAAACCAGAAGAUGGUGGAACAACAUCUCUAAAGCAUGGGAAGAAUGCUUUCAACCCAGAAUUUUAUAUCCAGUGAAAAUGUCCUUCAAAGAUGAAGGCAAAAUGAAGACAUUUCAGAUAAGCGAAAGCCAAGAGCAUUCAUCACUAGUGAACUUGUACCACAAGGAAUGCUAAAAGAAGUUCUUCAGGUUAAAGGAAAAUGAUACCAGAUGGACACAAGAAUCUAUGCAAAGGAAUGAAGAGUACCAGAAAUGUUUUCUGACAUCAGAAGUGGUAUCCAAAGAAGACCCUCAACAACUCUGAGGCCAGUGAGCAACCACGUGCUGGUACCCACUGGGCCCAUUGAGCUCACCACUUUCUUGCCAACCUUGCAGUCAGCCUGAAUGUUGCUCUCUUUGCAUGUUGAGCUCUCGGAAUUUAUUGUGCAUACCUGUAUUCUGUUUGUUGAAGCUUCUUGAAGAAGAAAGGAAAAAGAAGAAGGCAAAACCUUAAUGAAUAUAGAAAGAUGCAAAAGGCAAAAUGCUUCAUCUUCAAAGAGAUUUAUGGAAAAGAUAUUAACAAGUACUCUAGAAUACAAGUUUCUGAUAACUUUAAGAUCAUAACACUGAACUGGGUAAGAAUUUCUAAGACUCUACUGGAAAAGUGAUUGAUUCAUAAAGCUACUAACCCAAGAUGAAGCAAAACAAAAAUUAAUUACAGGAGACUGAAUGAACUGAUGAAGAUGAUUAUAACUUUUAUGACUUCAUUUUAAAUAUUGCUGGUUGUUUAAUGUUUUGUUUUCCAGAUUUAAAGGACUCCUUUUGCUCCUCUCUUUUAAGCUAUUAAUAUUUAUAACUUGACAGCAAUUUGAGAAAGUAUGCUUUUGUAAACAAAAGUUGAAACAUUUAUCUUUUUCUCCCUACCUAAUCCCUCCAGAAUUCAGAAACUCUUAUUAAAUACUCUUCUUUUCAUGACAAUAUAUGUAUUUAUAUAAACUCAAUAAGAAUUUGUUCUUCUUGUAGCAGGACACAAGUAAACAAGUCCUUAGCUUGGCUUCUUAGCCUAAAGAGACUUUAAAGGUCUAAUCUGAAAUUCUUUAUUACCAGGCAAUUUUAAAGAACUAAAGUUGACUUUAUGGAGCCAGUAAAGCCCCUUGGAUAUUACCAAGGCUUUGACCAAAAUGUCAUGUUUGAGAAUCUGCAUAGAAUUACUAUUCUUACUACAUUUAUGUAAAUAAUCUAUCCAAGUUUAAUAAGAUGACUUAUAAACAAAUUAGUUUCACUAUAAGUAUUUUGAUAAAAGUGGGAUGACUAUGGAAAAAAUUGUUUCACUAGAAAACUAUGGUUAUCAUGGUAUCUCUCCUACCAGGUAAGUAUAGAAAAGUAUGGUGUAUUCUUUAUCAAAUUCUAGUCCUGUUAAUUGUCUUUGAGGUUUCGUUAUCUACUUGUAAACUUCAGAGAAAUCACCACAAUAGAUCAUGUAUGGACAACCUUCAUGCUUGUUGCUGUAAAGGCUGCUCAAGAAAGUUCAGUAGAAUACCUGAUGACAUCAAAGACAGUUAAGCUGCAAACCAGGAAAAUCCACAGAUUGAAACUGCCAUCCUUAUUCCACUCCCUAAAGAUGCUUCGAAUUCAAAUCUAGAAAUGUUCUCAAUUGGCUGCUCUCCAAACUCAGAAACUGAAUUUAUAAUUUGCUCGAACUGUUAACCCUUGUUUUUCUUUUAUUUCCAUAGAAAUGCGUCUUAUUAAAUUACCUUAUUGCACACAUCAUAUAGAGGCCUUAGGUGGAGGCACACCUGCAGUACCACCUCCUGAACUGAAACAUCCUCAUGUUCAUCCUGUCCUAGGCUUGGUUUUUUCAUCUCCACAGACGAGGCCAGACAGAAGCCAUAUGUGGUGUCCUGUGCAGUGUGCUAAUGAGUUACCUAUAUAAACAGAACAAAGCCGUCUAGCAAUCCCAUAAAGAUCACAUAUAACGAUAAACCAGCUAGAAUAAUGCCACUGUUUCUGAAGAUAAAGUCAACUAAUACUAAUGGCACCAUCCUGUCUUUGUGUGGCCCCGUCUCCAAAUAGCACAAGAUACAAAUUUAUACCCGAAAACGUGUUAUGUAAAUUCAAACAACCAGCAUGAUUUUAAUGUCUAUAAAAUAUACAAAUCCUCAUUGUAAAGUCAGUUUCGAAAGCUUGCGGGCACUCUGAAGCAUGUGCUUCUGCAGAGAUAGUGAAUUAUGUUUAUAGCUUUGUUCCCUCUAUGGCUAUGCAUCCUGGUGCAGCUGUAAUUGUAUCAGAGGUACUUGUUGAUUUUCCUUGGGCUGAGGAAUGGCAGGGUUGGCUCCUAUGCUGGCCCAGCUGAAUGGGCUGCCUUGGGGUCUGAGGGGAGGCUCUAUUUCCCAGCUAGGAUGGUAGCAGUUGGGGUGGUGUGAAAAAAAUGAUGGAAAGUGGGUGGGCAAGAGAAUGGAGAGAAAUAGGAUGCAGAGGGAGGAACGAAUGGAAGAGAACGGAAUUUGUUGGAGAGAGUGGAUGAAGUGGGAAGGAGGGUGGCCGUGACAAGGUGAAGAAUGAUCAGAAGAUUAGGCGUGGGUAGGAGAGUUGCCCACUGAAAUUUUACCUUUUAAGUCCUAUUUUAUUGAAAGAGACAUCUUUAUUGAAGAGGACACCCUGAGAUGAAGACGUCCUAUCCUAAAGAAACCCUCUGAUCCCAUGUCACUAAUAGUAUGACAUGUUUUACAUGUUUGCCAUUUUUAAGCAAGAGGAAAUUGUUAGAGGAAAAAGAGCAUUGCUAAAGAUAUAAAACCUUUCAACACUUGGAUUUGAUGAGCAGUCAUAAAGGUGGAGCUGAGGAAAGUGGUUAAGAAUAGCCUGCCAAUGCAGGGGACACGGGUUCAAGCCCUGGU
Molecule: long non-coding RNA, 3456 nt
Organism: Aethalodelphis obliquidens (Pacific white-sided dolphin)
Lineage: Eukaryota; Metazoa; Chordata; Mammalia; Artiodactyla; Delphinidae
Exons: 7
Source: RefSeq, a predicted model, not a curated record